RNAcentral lists this small RNA (215 nucleotides) under Oryza sativa Japonica Group (Japanese rice). RNAcentral describes it as "sRNA Os06g0234150". The record is from RNAcentral. Lineage: Eukaryota; Viridiplantae; Streptophyta; Magnoliopsida; Poales; Poaceae.
ACAACAGUCACAGCAUCUUGAAGUGCAGGCAAAGAUCCAAACUCUAGGGGUGAAACCCCUUUCCAGAAUUCAUCAUCCUCUACAUGUGGGCUAUACAUACCAAUGUCACACUCGGUGCCAAUAGCGAGAACGGUGGCAAGGUAUUUGGUAUCCGAUCCCCUCUUCUUAAGCUUGACCUGGGUGUAGUGCUCGACGGAGUGAGCGUUGGUAAGCAC